This 440-nucleotide ribosomal RNA is filed under the name uncultured bacterium. Its description in RNAcentral is "partial 16S ribosomal RNA". It matches the Rfam family "Bacterial small subunit ribosomal RNA", at positions 338 to 795 of the family's 1533-position model. The record is from RNAcentral.
CCUACGGGCGGCAGCAGUGGGGAAUAUUGCACAAUGGGGGAAACCCUGAUGCAGCGACGCCGCGUGAGUGAAGAAGUCUUUCGGUAUGUAAAGCUCUAUCAGCAGGGAAGAAAAUGACGGUACCUGAUUAAGAAGCCCCGGCUAACUACGUGCCAGCAGCCGCGGUAAUACGUAGGGGGCAAGCGUUAUCCGGAUUUACUGGGUGUAAGGGGAGCGUAGACGGCAGGACAAGUCUGGAGUGAAAUGCCGGGGCUUAACCCCGGAACUGCUUUGGAAACUGUGCAGCUAGAGUGCAGGAGAGGUAAGUGGAAUGCGUAGUGUAGCGGUGAAAUGCGUAGAUAUUAGGAGGAACACCAGUUGCGAAGGCAGCUUACUGGACUGUAACUGACGUUGAGGCUCGAAAGCGUGGGGAGCAGACAGGAUUAGAUACCCGAGUAGUC